AACGAACGCUGGCGGCAUGCCUAACACAUGCAAGUCGAACGAGACCUUCGGGUCUAGUGGCGCACGGGUGCGUAACGCGUGGGAAUCUACCCUCAGGUUCGGAAUAACUCAGAGAAAUUUGAGCUAAUACCGGAUGAUGACGUAAGUCCAAAGAUUUAUCGCCUGAGGAUGAGCACGCGUAGGAUUAGGUAGUUGGUGAGGUAAAGGCUCACCAAGCCGACGAUCCUUAGCUGGUCUGAGAGGAUGAUCAGCCACACUGGGACUGAGACACGGCCCAGACUCCUACGGGAGGCAGCAGUGGGGAAUAUUGGACAAUGGGCGAAAGCCUGAUCCAGCAAUGCCGCGUGAGUGAUGAAGGCCUUAGGGUUGUAAAGCUCUUUUACCCGGGAUGAUAAUGACAGUACCGGGAGAAUAAGCUCCGGCUAACUCCGUG
Molecule: ribosomal RNA, 433 nt
Filed under: uncultured bacterium
Lineage: Bacteria
Description: partial 16S ribosomal RNA
Rfam family: Bacterial small subunit ribosomal RNA
Source: RNAcentral